GCCCGCCUAGCUCAAUCGGAUAGAGCGUCAGACUCUUAAGGCGGGAGUGCGUCCCAUCGGUUCCCUCCACCUGGCGAUCUGAAGGCUGCGAGUUCGACCCUCGCGGGGGCUA
Molecule: transfer RNA, 112 nt
Filed under: Ephemerocybe angulata
Lineage: Eukaryota; Fungi; Basidiomycota; Agaricomycetes; Agaricales; Psathyrellaceae
Description: Coprinellus angulatus tRNA
Rfam family: tRNA
About the family: Transfer RNA (tRNA) molecules are approximately 80 nucleotides in length.
Source: Rfam by way of RNAcentral